Molecule: long non-coding RNA, 3220 nt
Organism: Rhinopithecus bieti (black snub-nosed monkey)
Lineage: Eukaryota; Metazoa; Chordata; Mammalia; Primates; Cercopithecidae
Source: Ensembl
GGCGGGGUCUAGGGAGAAGCUAGGGAGGUGGGAGGAGCAUGACAGCGGAGUGGGGUUUCGGGAAACUGACAGGGGUCAGUCGUGGAAGGGGUGGGCACAUCUUUCUCUUGGACCCGCGAGCCAAAGCCACGUUGGUGCUGGUGAUCAUCCAGGCUGAGCGCUGAGCAUUCCCGGUCUCGGGCGAUUUCUUGACGGUCACUUCCAGGCUGAGAGCCAUGACUAGGAGACUGCCGUGGGACUGAAGACCUCUCACCCUCAGCACUCCAUCCGCCCCGACCCUGCCCUCGCUGUGCCUAGUUGGGAAUGCGCCUCCGGGGUCUUCCGCGGUCCGGGAGCCGCACCUGCCGGGUGGAGACGCGGGGCUGGCUGGGGUGCGGGUGUGAGAGGUCUUCGGUUCCACGGCCUCCAACCCAUUCCUGCUUCCGAAGUUCUGUUCCCGCGCUCAAUGCCCUGCCCGAUCCAGUUCCGGCCGCCCCUCUCCCCGCUCCCGCUUCUCCACGCUCUUUCCUUCCCAGGCUCUGCAGUGAAUACACCCAGUCCGAAACCCCCCGCGCGCUUUGGCUCUUGGGUCCCCGCUCCGUGCAGCCGUGGACUGGGGCUCCAGGUCCACCAGGGGGCGCCCGCCGCCCAAGCUGGGUAUCGCUGCGGAGAAAAGGGGCCCAGAGUGGUUCCUCAGGGGAGGGAGGGGGAGGCCCCCAGACGGAAGGGCCCGGGUUUCCUCUGGGAGGAUGGAUCUUAGGUGAUCUGAGGGUGGAGACGGGGUUUCACCAUGUUGCCCAGGUUGGUCUCAGACUCCUGACCUCAAGUGAUCUGCCUGCCUUGUCAUCCCAAGGUGCUGGGAUUACAGGAGGCAGAGGUUGCAGUGAGUUGAGAUCGAGCCACUGUACUCCAGCCCGGGUUAUAGUGCAUGACUCCAUCUCAAUCAAUCAAUCAAUCAAUCAAUAAAACUAGCACGGUAUGGUAGUGUGUACCUGUAGACCCAGCUAUUAAUACAUGGGAGGCUGAGGCAGGAGGAUUGCUUGAGCCCAGGAGUUCCAGAUCAGCCUGGGCAACAUAGUGAGACCCCAUCUGUACAAGAAAUAAUAAUAAUAAUAAAAUAGCUGGGUGUGGUGGCAUGUGCCUGUAGUCCCAGCUACUCAGGAGGCUGAGGUGGGAGGAUCUGGGAGUUCAAGGCUGCAGUGAGUCAUGAUUAUGCCACUGAACUCCAGCCUGGCCGACAGAGCGAGAUCCUGUCUUAAAAAAAAAAAGAUCCACUUCACUCCAUACUUUCCUUCCCUCUUUUCUUCAGUUCUAUCUGGUCCCUAGCUCACUCUCUAGCUGUCUGACUCAUGCAAAUUUCUCUGCUCACACCACUAAUGCUCUGUGAGGCUUCACCUCUGCCCUGGGGUAGACAGAGGACCCAGGCCAGGUAGAAGUUAACACUCGAAGAGGUCACUGGCAACGUGAUGGGAGACACACUACAGAGACCCUGAGAGGAGAGGAUUUUUGCUAGGAAACAAUCAAGGUAGACUUUAUGGGGGAGGCGUCUGUUCACUCAACCUCAGAGGCAGAAGAAGGAGGGGCCCCCCGGCACAGCCUGGGGUGCUGUCCCUUCCAACUACUUCCUGUGCAAUCCCUCCCUCAAGGCCUGUGAUGGUGAGGGUGGAGAGUGGGGCCCUUCCCCAGUGGGUGAGGAAAACCAGAGCCCACGCUUACUUCGAGGAGACAGCUGAGCACAAGAGGUGUGACUCCAGCAAACGUGAGGUGCUAAGAGGGUGACGUUGAGUCUCCACGGUGGGUGGGGCCGCCUGGCUCAGAUGUCCCAACCACAGCACGUCACGGCGCUCCCUGACUGCGGCCUGAGCCUUCCCCAGGCGUUGAGGUCUUGUUUCCCUUCCCUGGGGCGCCUUUCAGAACUCCGCCAAGCCCCCCAGCACAGAUAGGAGUUCAGACCGGUCUCAGUGAGACCUUGGCCAAGAGACGUCACUUUCUGGAGUUUCAAUUUCUGUGCCCACGUUUUAGGGACGAUGGUGUACCACAGAACUGUAGAGAAAAUUCAGUGACCAUCACAAUGACAGGUUGCCUUUAUCGAACAUUUACUAUGUGCUGGGCACAGUGCUCAGAGCAAGCUUUCCACCAUUCUUUGAGAUCCACUACGAUUUCCAUUUAACACAUCUGAACAAUGAGCUGAAUCAGAGAAGUGAAGCCAUUUGCCCAAGAUCACACAGCAAACACUCUCACACUCUCUCUCUUUUUUUUCUUUUUCUUUUUCUUUUUUUUGAGGCAGAGUCUUGCUCUGCUGUCCAGGAUGGAGUGCAGCGGCACGAUCUGUGCUCACUGCAUCCUCCGCCUCGCGCAUUCAAGCGAAUCUCCUACCUCAGCCCCCUGAGUAGCUGGGAUUACAGGCAUGUGCCACCACGCCCAACUAAUUUUUUGUAUUUUCAGUAGAGACGGGAUUUCACUGUGUUAGUCAGGUUGGUCUCAAUCUCCCGACCUCAGGUGAUCCACCUGCCUCGGCCUCCCAAAGUACUGGGAUUAUAGGCAUGAGCCACCAUGCCCAGCCUGUCUUUCUUUUUUUGUUUUUGUUUUUAUUUUAAAGACAAGGUCUUGCUCUUUUUUGCCCAGGCUGGAGUGCAGUGGUGUAACCAUAGCUCACCACAACCUCUGCCUCCCUAGGUCAAGCGAUCCUCCCACCUCAGCCUCCCUGAGUAGGCUGGGACCACAGGUGUGUGCCAUGACACUUGGUUAAUUACUUUUUUUUUUUUUUUUGAGGCGGAGUCUGGCUCUGUCGCCCAGGCUGGAGUGCAGUGGCCGGAUCUCAGCUCACUGCAAGCUCCGCCUCCCGGGUUCACGCCAUUCUCCUGCCUCAGCCUCCCGGGUAGCUGGGACUACAGGCGCCGCCACCUCGCCUGGCUAGUUUUUUGUAUUUUUUAGUAGAGACGGGGUUUCACCGUGUUAGCCAGGAUGGUCUCGAUUUCCUGACCUCGUGAUCCACCCGUCUCGGCCUCCCAAAGUGCUGGGAUUACAGGCUUGAGCCACCGUGCCCGGACUACUUUUUUUUUUUUUUGAGACAGAGUCUUGCUCUGUUGCCCAGGCUGGGGUGCAGUGGCGCCAUCUUGGCUCACCACAACCUCUGCCUCCCGGGUUCAGGUGAUUCUCCUGCCUCAGUCCCCAAAGUAGCUGGGACUACAGGCGUGUGCCACCGUGCCUGGCUGAUUUUUUUUUUUUUUUUUUUUUUUUU